Molecule: RNA transcript, 1580 nt
Organism: Xenopus tropicalis (tropical clawed frog)
Lineage: Eukaryota; Metazoa; Chordata; Amphibia; Anura; Pipidae
Gene: qtrt1
Gene name: queuine tRNA-ribosyltransferase 1
Exons: 10
Source: RefSeq, marked provisional
AGACUUCAGAUCAGAAGGCCCAGCGCAAAGGACGCAUGCGAGUGACGUCAUCGCGCAUUGGGACGCAGGCUGGCAGCAGACUCAGGAAACAAGGAAGUAAUGCGAGCGACUGUGGCGCUGGAACGCAAGGAGUUGUUUCCGCGUCUCAAGGGAAAAAAAAUGGCGGCGCCCCAGUGUCACGCUUUGGUACACCGGGUGUUAGCGGAGUGCCCAGUGACCAAGGCCCGGGCAUGUGAGUUCCGCUUGCCCCAUGGCCCAGUGAAGACUCCCGUGUUCAUGCCCGUCGGCACACAGGGCACCAUGAAGGGGGUGACGGCAGAUCAGCUGCGGAAUCUGGGCUGCGAGAUCUGCCUGGGGAACACCUAUCACCUCGGGAUGCGCCCGGGUCCGGAGAUUAUGAAAAAGGCGGGCGGCCUGCAUGGUUUUAUGAACUGGGGCAGAAACCUCCUUACUGACAGCGGUGGGUUUCAGAUGGUUUCCCUGGUGGAGUUGUCAAAAGUGACGGAAGAAGGGGUGCAGUUCAGAUCUCCCUACGAUGGGAAAGAGAUCCUGCUCACCCCAGAAAAAUCCAUUGAAAUCCAAAAUGCACUGGGCUCUGAUAUUAUGAUGCAACUGGAUGAUGUGGUGAGCAGCACAAUCACAGGCCCGCGUGUGGAGGAAGCCAUGCACAGGUCUAUCCGCUGGUUGGAUCGAUGUAUUGCCGCCAACAGCAACCCCGAUCGACAGAAUCUCUUUGCCAUCAUCCAAGGAGGUCUGGAUGCUGAACUGCGCAGGAAGUGUUUGCAGGAGAUGACAAAACGGGACGUCCCCGGCUUUGCCAUUGGUGGCCUAAGCGGAGGAGAAGAGAAAGAUCACUUUUGGAGAAUGGUGACCCUCAGCACUGACCAUUUGCCUCGGGACAAACCUCGUUACCUUAUGGGAGUGGGAUAUGCUACAGACCUUGUGGUAUGUGUAGCUUUGGGCUGUGAUAUGUUUGACUGUGUCUUUCCAACAAGGACAGCUAGGUUCGGAUCAGCGCUGGUUCCCUGGGGUUCCCUACAGCUAAAGAACAAACAGUUUGCUAAAGAUUUCCAGCCCAUAGACAAGAACUGUGAUUGUCCCACGUGUCAGAGGUACAGUAAGGUACAGCCGGGCCUACAUCAAUGCCUUAUUUAAAAGUGACACUGCUGCUAUGCACCAUAUUACAAUCCAUAACAUUGCUUAUCAGCUGAAUCUGAUGCGCUCGGUGAGGGACAGCAUCCUGCAGGGCCGCUUCCCCCAGUUUGUGCAGGACUUUAUGAGAACCAUGUACAGCAGCAGAGACAAGUACCCCCAAUGGGCUGUGGAUGCUCUAGAGACAGUUGGUAUCACCCUGCAGUGAUCUCUGUGCUCUUAGGAACAUGGAGUAAAUCUGCACAUUACCUGUUAUGGGCCUUUUUAUACCACAGAACUGAUACUCAGGCCGGGACCCAAUAGCCCUGUUGGGCUUUAACUUAUUGUCUGAAAUGUUCCGCUCAUAGUUCCGUUAUUCUGUUUUUAUCAAUUACCUUUUUUUUAAGAACUUUUAUUUUUAAAUAAAACGCCAAGUUUUUAAACAAUCA